CACCAUCAAAAACAUCAACACCAUAGGCAAAAUAAAGUCUCUCCAGCAGCGUGAGUGAGCUGCUUUUAAGGCACUUUCGGAUUAAAUGUUGUCAAAGAGAAGAGGCAGUGUGCAGGAAUACCGGUGAUGUGGCCUCUCAUCAUGGCAUCAGAGAGAUGGCACAGGCAUUGUUGUUUUGGGUUUCGACAACUACAACUACAUAUUGCAAACUCAUAGAGGCAUAUAUUAUACACAUAUAUAUAUAUAUAUAUAUAAAAAAUACUCAAAUAUAAAGCAUACUCAAAUCAUUCAAUCAUUCAGAGAGUGAGCUGCUUGUAAUACACUUUGGAAUAAAAAAUUAAAAACAGGGAAUGUUUUCAUCUCAUUUCAUUCAUAUGUCAUAUAAGUAUUUCACAUACUUAUAUUUAAAUGACCCACCACCAAAACAUCAACACAUCCCACCAUAAGCACAAUCAAAUCUUUCAAUCAGUGUAAGUGAGCUGCUUGUAAUGCACUUGGGAAUAAAACAUUUAAAACACGGAAUUCAUUCAACAUCUCAUUGGACAUCGGAUUGUUUGCACCUUUACAUCCGCACACAUGAAUGACACGGAUCGACGAGUGGACUGCUAAGAAGUCUAAGACAUCCCUGUGAUAAUAACGUAAUCCCUGUGAUAACACGAUCCCUGUGAUAAUAAUGCCUUUAAGACAUCCCUAUGUAUGUAUAAUAAUAAUAAACGGCUCAUAAGAGCUUAUUAAUGACCUAAUUAUAAUAUUAUAAAUAUAUAUCAAACUAUAUAUAUAUAUAUAUGCUUGCUCAUUUAGUGUGCUCACUGGCACAGCUUUGAGUGUCAGCUUCCACAGUUCAACACAAAGCUGGAGCCCUUGUCACUACCAUUCUACCUUUGGCCAAGCCACCACUAAAAAGGUGCAUGUUUGAAAGUGCUAUGCUUGCUUUAAGGCACUAAUGGCAAUGUCUACUGCAGUUUCAAAGCUGGAGUUAUCCACGUUGAUUACUGCGAAACAACAGCUGGUAUGCUAUGCUCUCUUGGUUAGAAACAGUACUGAUUUACACUAAAGGGUUUAACUCAUUGUGUGCCCACUAGCACAGCUUUGACGCGUCCACAGCUCAAAAACUGGUGACUGACUGGCAACAUAUGCAGCAUAGGAGCCUCUCUUUUACAGGCUCAAAAUCACACACCUUGAUUAACAAUAUAACAGUCAGUUCAAAUGGAUAUGGCUAGGGUAUAUAAAACAUGUCUGACAAGCUACAGCAAAUGUAAUUGUUUUGAACAACAAAAGAAGCACUGCAGUUUACUCCUUGUAAAGGUGCUCCUGGCACAUACUGCACAGAACAGUUUUCUUACACUACAAGCUCAUCUCUGUUGAUUGGAAAUAGUACUGAUUUACACUUAACUCAUUGUUAAAAUCCAGAGCAAAGCUGGAGUUACCCAUGUUGAUAACUGCGAAACAAGAGUUAGUUUGCCAUGCUCUCUUGGAUAGAAACGGAACUGAUUUACACUAAAGGCUUUAACUCAUUGUGUGCUCACUGGCACAGCUCAAAGGCUUCCACAGCUCAAAAGAUGGUGACUGACUGGCAACAUUUGAUGCAUAGGAGAUUGUCUUUACCUUUUG
Molecule: long non-coding RNA, 1611 nt
Organism: Clupea harengus (Atlantic herring)
Lineage: Eukaryota; Metazoa; Chordata; Actinopteri; Clupeiformes; Clupeidae
Source: Ensembl